GAGGGUUUGAUCCUGGCUCAGAUUGAACGCUAGCGGGAUGCCUUACACAUGCAAGUCGAACGGCAGCACGGACUUCGGUCUGGUGGCGAGUGGCGAACGGGUGAGUAAUGUAUCGGAACGUGCCCAGUAGCGGGGGAUAACUACGCGAAAGCGUAGCUAAUACCGCAUACGCCCUACGGGGGAAAGCAGGGGAUCGCAAGACCUUGCACUAUUGGAGCGGCCGAUAUCGGAUUAGCUAGUUGGUGGGGUAACGGCUCACCAAGGCGACGAUCCGUAGCUGGUUUGAGAGGACGACCAGCCACACUGGGACUGAGACACGGCCCAGACUCCUACGGGAGGCAGCAGUGGGGAAUUUUGGACAAUGGGGGAAACCCUGAUCCAGCCAUCCCGCGUGUGCGAUGAAGGCCUUCGGGUUGUAAAGCACUUUUGGCAGGAAAGAAACGUCGCGGGUUAAUACCCCGCGAAACUGACGGUACCUGCAGAAUAAGCACCGGCUAACUACGUGCCAGCAGCCGCGGUAAUACGUAGGGUGCAAGCGUUAAUCGGAAUUACUGGGCGUAAAGCGUGCGCAGGCGGUUCGGAAAGAAAGAUGUGAAAUCCCAGAGCUUAACUUUGGAACUGCAUUUUUAACUACCGGGCUAGAGUGUGUCAGAGGGAGGUGGAAUUCCGCGUGUAGCAGUGAAAUGCGUAGAUAUGCGGAGGAACACCGAUGGCGAAGGCAGCCUCCUGGGAUAACAC
Molecule: ribosomal RNA, 738 nt
Filed under: uncultured bacterium
Lineage: Bacteria
Description: bacterial SSU rRNA
Rfam family: Bacterial small subunit ribosomal RNA
Source: RNAcentral